RNA transcript from Cyprinus carpio (common carp), 2289 nucleotides. It is a transcript of the gene named ubiquitin-conjugating enzyme E2 E1-like, with no coding region annotated. The record is from RefSeq and is a predicted model, not a curated record. The transcript has 16 exons. Lineage: Eukaryota; Metazoa; Chordata; Actinopteri; Cypriniformes; Cyprinidae.
AAGCUAGAAUCCUUCUUGGCGCCGGGAAAAAGGUGGAUGGUUCGUUACCUCGUGGCUGAGCAAAAGGAACGUAGGCUACCCCUCUAGAGAAGCUUACCAAACUAUGACAACUUCUGCCUCGGAAAGAGUCCACACGGUUUCAUUUACCUCAGCACUGUGAUGUCUACUGACAAGAUGGAUAAAAUAUUCAUAUUACUUCAGAAGUUCAGACUGGAUAAAUACUACAAAAAAUUCAUUGAUCUUGGGAUUAAAGAAGAACUGGAUUUUUUUGACAGCGUCAAUGAUGUGACCUUAAAAACCAUGGAUUUUUCACAAGCAGAGAGGAACCGGUAUGACAAUAUGGUUGCUUAUCUGCGAAGAAUUGGCAAUGCACCAGUUCCAGAGAUGCAAGGAAUGCAUGUAAUGAAGUCUCUUAAUUCAUUUCGUAUAUCCUACCGAUUUCCAAAAUGUGCUGGGAUACAAGAAAUCACAGGUAUAGAUCCCUCACAAAAUACAGUGGAGGACCUGAUGCUGCGAAUCUGCCAUGAAAACAAGGUUGACCGAAACUUGUCUGUAUGCCUUUACACUGCUGAUGGUAUGCCUUUGACCGAUGACCCCUUUUUCAACACAUGGUCUUUGAAUGACAGACAUAUUGCAAGUGGGAGUGAACUGUAUGCCAUAUUUACACCAAGGGAAAAUUUAACAGAGUUACCACCAACGCAAAGACAGGCCAACAUCAGAAUUGAAGGACCGAGUGUCAUCCGCUGUCACAUAGCGUUACAGGGAGACUUUGAAAUCAAAGUCAACCUUGAAAGUGAUACACUGAGAGAUGUGACACUACGGCUUUCUCUCGAAAGUAGUAUACCAGCACCAGUUCUUCACAUCAGAGGUGAUGAGUAUAAUCAUGUUGACAAACUAAGUGAGCUUGGAGUCACAGAGGAUUCAGUUCUACAGUUCUCUCUGUCAUCAUUUGAUAAUGAGAAACCAAGUCCAAGUCUUUUGUUCCAAAAAGAUGUCAGACCCUCAGUGAAGCAAACAGAGAAAGGCCUAAGUGUUUUUCUGUCAACGCUCUAUGCCAUUAAACGAAAACACUGUGGAGAUGAAUUUAAGAAAGUGGUUGCAUAUAUUAGGAGACUGAGUGGAUGCAAUGCUUUGGCUCAAAGUUUAUUCCAAAUGAUCUGUGGGAACUUGCAUGUAACUAGAAACCAAAAGAUUGCUGUUGUUGAGGGUCUUUACUUUCUUUUCCGAGAGUUGUUACCAGAUCGUAAUGAAACAUCAGGUCCAAAGGUCAUUGAAGAUGGUGAUGUUUUUGAAUAUGCAAAUAUUUGCUGGGCUUACCUGAUUGCUCAAGGACAGGAUGAAAGUACUGAUCUGGAGACCUUUGCUACAAUUUCCUUGAAAGCUUAUCCUACUGGCCAGCGGCUGUGUGAGCCAGUGAGAGUACCAGGGACACCAGAAGUAUUGAGGUCAUACGUACUGGAAAAAAAUCACAGAUGGUGUAAAAAUUCCAAACUGUGAUGAGGUGAAUCUGCUGGAGUCAUCGAUUCAAAGAGCUAAAGAUAUCGAGAAAAUUUCGCUUAGUCUUCCGGCAUCAUUUGAUAGGUUUCCAUUGUGGAUCUUUUAUAACAGCACCCCACAAUGUUGCAACUUUCAGAUUGAACAGAAGAAAACAUUUUCAGACAUGUUUGAGGAUGUCAAACGGUACAGUCACUUGAUUGUCACACCACCACUGCAACUGGCAAAUAUGGGAACUGAGGCUCCUCGGUUGGUGUAUCUCAGUGAAGAUAAUCUAGGUGUUUACUUGAGCAAAGACAAGGGAGACCCGUUUAAGAUUUGGGUUUAUGACUGUCUGUCUGGAACAGAAACCAUAAAAAAUGUGAAUGAUCUGGCUAAAAUACUCAAUGAUACCAGAACUGACAACACUGUUGAAGUCAGUAAAACCCCCAAAGAGGCAAUUGUGGUGCUCUUUGAUUCAAGUUCUUCAAUGAUGGAAGAAUGUUAUGACACUGCCAGUCAGAUGAUGCGAAUUGAUGCCGUCAAGCAAAUCUUUGACAGCUUUUCAAACCGAAGUAUGGCAUAUGAUUUUCAGCACGUCAUCUGCCUUGUGAUGUUUAACGACAAAGUUAAAACUCUUCUUAAAUUCACAGAAAAUUUGGAAAACCUUCAAGGAGCAAGUGCAUGCUAUUGAAGCAUCUGGGUACACUAGGUUAUAUGAUGCACUUGUUCGUGGGAUCUCAGAGCUUGAAAAUAUCAAGAAAAGUUUUCCAGCUUGCAGAUGUCGCAUCUUGUGUUUGACAGAUGGCAACGAUU